Molecule: long non-coding RNA, 35956 nt
Filed under: Setaria viridis
Lineage: Eukaryota; Viridiplantae; Streptophyta; Magnoliopsida; Poales; Poaceae
Description: long non-coding RNA (SVIR_LNC003549)
Source: RNAcentral
GAACAAGAAUGUCAGUUACAGGAAAAAAUGCAAAAGCAUGAAGCUAAAAAGGAAGCAGAGAUAGAACAACUUAAAGUUGCACUUAGCCAAGAAUUGAUGGGGGAAGUUGCUAGAAUGAUCGCGCCUUAUCGUCAGGCUUUACUGCAAGAGGUAACCAGAAUAUAAUUUGUGCAUGUUGAUUUAUAUUGUGUUCUAAAUUUUCAUAAUGUCACUAAUGUCUAGCCUCCCCUCUUUUAAAAUCCGCAGCGUACCCCAGCAAACAACAAUAAUACAACUGAAGUUGAUGCUAGGACCACCGAGGAUAACAUUGAUGCAAGGCCAGUACUGGACAGCCAAGAAAUAAGGAACCAUGUAUCGACAAUAAUUGGUUGUGAUUGAAAAUAUAUAUACAUAUGUCGCUAAUCUCUUGCCUACCCGCUUUUAAAUUGUGCAGCAUACCCCUCAAACCAACAAUAAAACAACUGAUGAUGAAGCUGGGAGCACUGAGGAAAACCUUGCUGCAACACAAGUAGUGCAUAGUCAAGAAACAUCAAACCAGGUAACAAUAUCGAACAAGCAUUCCAAUCAUGAUGGUUUUUUGCAUUAAAUUUCAGCUAAAAUUGUUCCAAAAACUUUAUUAUGAUCCAGAAUGCUCCAAGAACGAUUGUCACAACUGAAAAAAGCACUUUGGCACCAACCAGAAAUGCUAAAACUGCCAACGUUGCAAAGAGUCUGUUCAAUGAGAAUCACGGUAAAGGUGUAGGAGCUGUUGCAGGAUCCAGAUUCAUUAGUACACAUCAGCUUAUAUCUGGUGCUAAAACUCGAGCAGGCAAAAAGAAAGUACAACAAGUACAAACUGGAAGUGUGCUUUCAAUAUUGCUGCAUAUUGAUUCCAAGACAAAGUAGCUUCAUAAGUUUUAAUUCACUUGUUUGUUUCUCUUUGCUUCAGCAGGCUAGUGAAGCUACGGAGGGGCAAUAAGACUCAAGGUUGCCUACAGGUUACAAGCAGAACUUCAAGCAAAGUUGAUCAUCAUGAAUGCUGGGAGUGAUCAAGAUUAUAGAUGUGUACGAAUAAUAUAGGUGUUCUACAUACUUUAUUAUUGGGAGUCAUGUGGAUGAAUGGACAAGAAUAUUUUCCGUUGUAUUAAAAAAUAUGACGACGACAUAUUUCCCGUUGCAAUAUCCAUUGAGCGUAUAACCACGACCCGUAUUGUGUUGCACUAUCCUGUACGCAUAUAACCACGACAUAUUUUGAUGCGAUAUGGUUGAUGCAUAUAACGACGGCACAUACCUCGUUGUGAUACCUCGUGAGCAUAUUACAACGCUUUCUCAUCAUUGCGAUAUCCAUUGAGCGUAUAACCAUGACCCGUAUUGUGUUGCAAUAUCCUGUAUGCAUAUAACCAUGAUAUAUUUUGUUGCGAUAUGGUUGAAGCAUAUAACGACAGCACAUACCUCGUUGCGAUACCUUGUAAGCAUAUUACAAUGCUUUCUCGUCGUUGCGAUAUAAUUUAAGCAUAUAACGAUGACCCAUAUUUCGUUGCGAUACCCUUUAAGCAUGUUGCAAUGCCAUAUUUUGUUGGAAUAUGGUUGACGCAUAUAGCCAUGACUAGUAUUUCGUUGAGAUAUCCUCUUAGCAUAUUGCAAUAGGAUAAGUCUUGUAUUGCAACAACAUUCUUGUGUUGCAUUAACGCUUGUUUGCAACAGCGCAAUGUCAUUGCAACAGCCACUAUAGCAACGACGCCUGCCGUUGCAAUUAACAAAAUUGCAACGACAAUGGACGUUGUAAUAUCCACUUAUUACUACGACACACAUCGUUGCAACAACUCACCCUUAUGCCCAAGGCUUCCUGUGUCAUUGUAAUACCCUAUUACAACGCAAGUUUACGCAACGACAUGAAUUUUAAGGCAACGACACAAAAUUAUCGCAAUAGCUCGCUAUUGCAAUGAAAUGACCCCUAUUGCAAUGAUUUCGUGCUGUGGUGCUAGUGACAAGACCUUGUAGUGAAUGAUUUGGCUGCUAGCGUCACUUGACCUACCCAACUCCCUCCGGGUUGGACGGUUGAGUGGGAUUCCUCCUCAGACGGCGAGGAUAGGGGUCAUUGAUGUCAUGAUCGGCUUCGUCAUGAUAUCGUGUAUCGACGUUUAGUUUCCGCAUGUUUUACUUCUUUGUUGUUUGAAACCGUGCAAACUCUGAUCUAAUAAAUUAUUGAUCUUUCUAUAAUAUGAACGGAAUGUUUUAAUCUCUGUAAGCACUAACCUUUGUGUGAGCAAUGCUUAUCGAUCCUGUAUAUGUGGUUUAUCAGAGGAAAUCCAACGGUCGACUAAGUUGACUUGUUUAAGGUGCUUGAUCGCGUGUUAGGUGACUUAAGUGCACUUUAGCCAGGUUAAUUUUAGGCCAUUCCGCCACAACAUGGAUACUUUUUCCUCUUGGUUGCAUCAACACCUUAUAGGUAACUCUGAGAUUCACCCACAGCUCGCUUGGUUAGCUAAGGGACCUUCUAGCAGAAUCGUGAAAUUCCAAGGCUACAAGAUAAAUGAUUAUACAUUUUACACGAGAGCCCAAGACCAAAAAAGCACGAACCAAAAUAGUGGUGUCCGCAUAGAUGUCAUUCACAGCACCGGUAGCAAGGACUCCUAUUAUGGUUUCAUAGAGGAGAUAUGGGAACUCGAAUACAGACCGCUGAACAUCCCUCUGUUUUGUUGCUAAUGGGUGAAGCUAACUGGCGUAACCAAAGAUCAGCAUGGAAUGACAAUAGUGGACCUGACCAAGACUGGAUACAAUGAUGAACCAUUCAUACUUGCCAAUGAUGUGCAUCAAAUUUUCUAUGUGAAGGACAUGUCUAGCAAACCAAAAAAAAUUCAGAAGAGCCAUGGAAGCCAAAGCGCCACAUAGUGCUUCUAGGUAAGAGAAAAAUCAUGGGAGUCAAAGAACAAAAUAGAGCAAUCAGAUCAUUAUGAUUAGUUUGAUGGCAUGCCUCCAUUCUCUAUUGAAGUUGACCCAAGCAUCAUGCCAAAGAAGAGGCUCCGUACUUACGCCAUGAUCAUGACCAAGGAACUUUCAUGAAGAAGUUUCUUAACGUUACAUUGUAAUGCACUAAAUAUGCUUCACCUUUAUGUAAAGUUACAUUGUAAAGUUCUAUGAUUUCAUGUACUACUUGAUACAAUUUUUAAUUUAAUGUAUCUAUGAUUUCAUGUGUGUUUAAAUUAGGUGAGGUGAAGAAUUAUUCAAGAUAUGUUUUUUGAUAUAUUUUUGCAUGUUUGAAAAAUAUAAAGUUUUUAUGUUUUUCUAUAACAAAGCCAGUUCAAAACAUAUAUUAAUUUGUAUGUUUAAAUUAGUUGAGGUAAAGAUUUAUUCGAUCAAUAUGAACAAUGUUAACCACAUACAUCAAUUGAAUUUUUCACACGUUGAAAUUAUUUAAUUGAAUAAUUUCUUGAUGAUAGUGAUGUAGUAAAAUAAUUAUUUUAUAAACUAAAAGAACUAGUAUAGAAUUAAUGACUCAUUCAAACUUAUUGUUAAUAUACUUGCUAAUUUAAUAUAGUUUUGCAUGUUCCAAAUAUAUAAAGUUCUUAUUUUUUCCUUCCUAAAAUCCAGUGAAAACAUAUAUAAAAUCUAUUUGCAAAAAACAGGCGAGAACUGAAAAAUGGAAAACGAAUCUUUUGUCCUAGAUGCAAAUUGCAUCUAGGACAAAAUGUCCCCCCUUUAGGCCCGGUUGCAAUUUGCAACUAGGAUAAAAGGGUAAUUUUCGCCUCCCACGCGAACGUACCCUUUUGUCCUGGUUGUAAAUUGCAACCGGGACUAAAGGGGGGGCCUUUUGUCCGGUUGCAAUUGGCACCCAGGACAAAAGGACCCUUUAGUCCAGGUUGCAAUUUGCAACCGGGAUAAAAAGGGUCGUAAAAGUAACAUUCAUCUUCUCCCCCCUCCACCCUUCAACACUUAGCGAAAUUUUCACCACUCUCCAAGAUCUACCGCGCCCGUCCGCCUCUGAUGCCGCCAGUCUCUCAUCCCCGCCCGUCCGCCUCCAUCGCCGGCCGCCGUGCUACUCAUCACCCGCCUCCAUCCCACCGUCGCCCAGCGCCUCGGCCGCUGUCGCCUGCGCCACGACUGCCGCCUCCUCCAUCGCCCGACCCGCCACCGCCUCCUCCGUCGCACCCUCUCGUCGCCGCCGCCUCCGGUGCGCCCCCUCAUUGUCACCUCCCUCUGCGCCGCCUCUGUGGUGAAACCGCCCAACUUAAGCUGGUUUAAGUGCACCUAAUCGCUGUCGGGACAACAAUUAUUCGAAACACACCUAAAACAGCAUAAGUCCAGUAGUCCGUCGAGUGUCCCUAGGACUCCUCGAAAGAUCCACGACGUGUCUCAUAGCCAUACACCAGGAUCGCUUCCUCGAUGGGAAGGCAUCAACAAACAUUACAUUUUUACAUACAUACCGGGGUACGAAUUAUUACAUACCAUAGUUUGAAACAAACUUCAUAGUGCAGGUUAGCGCGGUUCUAAGAGUUCAAAACAUGAACCAGUCUAGGUGAAAGAUAAACAUUUAAGUUUUAUUUCUAGGGUAUUUCGAGACUCGUAAAAUACCCUAGUUCUUCGGAGCUUCUUCCUCAGCGGACUCCUGUUGUGGCUCUGAAAUAGCAACGAGGGAUAACCCUGAGUAUAGGGUACUCAGCAAGACUAACCCGACUAACCAAUAUAAUAGCUUUUCUGGAAUUGCAUGAAAGCCUUUCAGUGUACUGGCUGACUCAUAGUUUUGCCAAAAGAGCUUACUAAAGUGAAACCUUAACUUUGUCUUUUACUUCAAUUGAGUUAUUACCUAUCCAAUCUAGAUAAUGAAAAAGAAAUACUUUUGCAAACAGUAGGAAAUUAAGUCAUACAACAAAUUAAUUGGAAAGACAUUGCAUUCAUGAGAUUACACUACGAUGCUUAACAGCGAUCUAGUGCAUUCAUAACCGAGAAUUGUGGCGAUCCGGAUCAAUUACAUCCUGUAGGAGAGCACCCUGAUCACCAGCUAUGUACAACUGUCCGGGUCGUACAUAACGACCUUUCGAUUAGCAUACCCAAAGAUUGGGAAUAAGACUACCCGAACCCAGGGAUGCACCCCCACAUGGGACCCCCUGUCUGGCCCGAUCUCCAUGUGAGUUUUUAGGCUAUGCCCCUGCCAAUCUCCAGCACGUCAAGCACGGGUACGAAAUAUUCCGGAUCAGAGAGUUUACUAAACUACCGGGCUUUACUGGUCCCAUACCCAGUAAGCAACCAGGUGACAUUCACUUGAUCAAAGGUUAAGACAACGAUCGGGCCUUAACCAAAUUAAUCUAGCAGACAGAACUAACAUCUCUAGCUUCUAUCGGAUUUCCAAAUUUCCAAGCUAACUUUCCAUAUCUAGCAUGUAUGACCCAACAAUUUACCUUAAGGUUCGGUAACCAAGUUACUUUCAGUAUCUAAGCAUUGCUAAAGCAUGGGUUAAUUACUAAUUAUUGAACAAGUGGCAAAGAUGUCCUUAAAACAAGGCAGGAUCAUGCACAAGAAUAGGUUUCAAUCAACUCCUAGACUUAAUGCAUUGAUAAAAGAAAUAACCAAUAAUUGAACACAUGAAAUAAUAACUCCAAAACAGAUAGGUAUAGAUGCACCGGGGUUUGCCUGGGAUCAACAAAUGUUAGUUCUUCGGAAAACCCCUUUAGUAAAAGAGGCACUUCAACAUUUCUCGGACUCUGUCAAUCUUCAGAUGAAUUCCACGAAUUCCACUUCAGAAGCUUCGAUGUCUAUGAUUUAGUACAUGCAGGAGUUAGAGACGCAAACUUUUGAAUACAUGACUAUACAACUUUCCUUCAUGAUAAAGUUGCAAGCCAACAAGUGACUAUACAACCUAUCUUCACAAUAAAGUUGCAAGCCAACACUAAUCUACCCAUAACAUCUAACCCACGAUUUUUUAAUCUCUUAACUAACCUGCCUUAAGCCCUUUCUUUUAUUUUAGAAAAGCAUUACAAAUAUUUUCUAAUCUCAAAAGUUAUUUCCUAUGAUUUAAUAAUAAUUUGUGAAUAAGAAAACAUUAUUCAAUAUUUUAUGCAUUUAAUAAAGGUUAAGCAUUUAUUUAAAUACCUUAAUGAAAAGGCAUUAAAUAAAUACCUAAAUUUUAUUAUUUUUCCUAGGGUAUAAAAAUUUGAAUGCAUAAAGGAAAAUAAAAUAAUCCUAACAAAAUUGGUCUCACUAAUUUUGGACACUCCUAGAAAUUUCUGUGAUUUAAACGGUGUAAACCGAAUUUUAAUGUUCUUUAUCUAUAAAAGGAAAACCUAAUGUUUAUCCAAAUAACCCCGGCCUAACCUUUCUCACUCGUACUAGGCCCGUUAAGCUGGCCCACCUACUCCCGGUCUCUACCUUAUUCUACUCGCCGGCCCAACGAGCGCCCAAACUCUAACGAGCCUCCUUACGACCGGCCUGCUCUCCGCACAGGCCAACAGCCCAACUUCCUCCUCCCUACCCAUGCCUGACGCAAGGGCCUUUUUUUUUUGGGGCCAGCCCACCCCGUUUCUUUCCCCCUUCACUUCCACCUGGGCCUCCAACCGACAAGCCCCUCUCCUCCUCUCAACUCCCCUGGCGCAUAGGCCAGAACAGGGGCGCGACAGGCAGGGGGCGGGGCUCGCCGACGGUGCCUCCCCGGCGGCGUGGCCGGGCUGGGGGCAUCCUGAAACCGGGGCGCACCCACGGGCGGUGGCGGCCCUCCAGGAGGCGGCCUGUGCCGAGCCCUCCACGGUGGCGGCGGCAAAGGCCGGCUGCCGGCCGGCGCAAAGCCCGACGGUGGCGCAAAAACGGCCUUCGGUGCCCCCCCCUAUGGACCCUAUUCGACUCAGCAAGCUCUGCAACCCAAGGAAUCGAGCAAAAGGGGCAUCACAGAGAGGCUCACCAAAGAACUAUGGUGGCGGCUGGCGGAUUAAAAUGGUGGCGAUUCGGAGCUUUGACGAUGAGGAAACAGAAAUCGGAGGGGCGUGGGCGUUGCGGUGGGGCUAGCGAAGCGUCUGGCGGGCGGAUUCGCGAAGAGAAGUGACGGAGCGAGGGUGUUGGCCAGCGGCGGCGUUGCUUUCCCGAGCUUUGGCUCGCAUGGCAGUAGAAAUGGCAAAGGGUUAAAUGGGAUGAGGGUGAGGUGGUAAAGAUACAUAACUUUUACCGUGCAUGUGUGCCACCUCGAUGACCUGCAGGCCUGCGUGGGCGCGGACGUGGUUGUUGCGCUGGUCGACGAGCAGAGGUGCCGGCGGCGGCACGGCUCUGUCCCCUAUUUCUUCUUUCUCUUCUUCGAAAUUCAGACCUCCACAUCGACCAAUUUCAAAUCCAAUCUCUCGAAGAUCCCUUCAGCAGUCUUGUAGAGUAAUCCAUGUACUUCAAUUGAUAGAUUGGCCGCUACCUGAAAUGAGCACCCUAACACCGAGAUUUUGAAGCUCAAAGUUUGACCAGAACCUUCUGUAACUGAACCUCGGUCAUUCAGUCUCGUCAAGGUCCAAAAUAGCAACUUCUUCCCUACUUUGAGCUCAAUUUAAAUUGCUUAAACUCCUUCCAUACAGCUUGAACCUUGCCUAUCCUUGUUCUACUACUGUUGGUGCUAGAAAUCGGCUGAUCGAAUUCCCAGCGUCGGACACACGACCCGGGAGAAUCUGCUUAGCUCCUGUUCGAGUGAUCACCCUGGUGCGGUUCGUGCAGCGUGCCAGCCAAUCUGACCUGUUGAUUGGCAAGGAAAGAAACGUGUCAGAUCCCAGAGGUUGCGAUCGGCUAAGGUUCCGAUCUCGAGAUAGCUUAUCAGUGAAUCGGCCGAUUUGCUGUAAUAAGGAAAUCGGCUAUAAUGCAGCCGAUUACCGGGCAGCGUUAAUAAAGAAGACUGCUGGAGUAAUCUAAACAAUGCUUAUAGUAACAACACUAGGAAUAGAUCUAAAUCGGCUAUGCGUAAAAUAAUAGAUUGAAUAACAAGGCACAGGAAAGCCGAAAGUUCCAAUUCCUAGCUGGAUAACUGGUGAUAAAACUAGAACUACAGGUAAAACCUAGAAUUCUAGUGGAUAUCGAUAACUGGUGAAUAAAUCUAAAUGAAACGACAGCGAUGCGCCCGAAGUUAAAGCUUAGAUAUUACUCGGUAAACGAAACUUACAGAAUCAGCCGGAGGUCAAGUUGAUGCAGCCUAGCCAACUCGUAUGAACUCGUGAAAAAGAAGAAAAGUAUUGGCGAAAUCGCCUGCUUGAAAGUAAGUGUGAGGAAAUAGUAGUUUGUUGUAUUGAUUUGAUGAUGAUUACAGAUCUACAAGGGUGGCUAUUUAUAGCCUGUUACAAAUGACUUCUUAACCGACUAGAACUCUAUCUCUAAUUUUAAACAAAAAAUGAAUAUUUACAAGUACGACUCGUACUGGGUCAAUCAUCAUGCUGUCAUGGGCUGACUCCCUUUUUACCUUCAUAAUCCACUUCAAGCCCACACCGGCCCAAUUCCUCCAGCCUCCUAAUCGGCCGAUUUCUACCAACUCCAUCGGCAAGGGACAGCCGAUUACGGCCCACAUGUCGGGGGUUCUGACUACUCCGACCCUGGGACCUAAGGUCGGGCGAGGUGGAGUCCCUCCCUUAGAGGGUCGGGCGCAUCCGACCCCAGGACUCAGGGGUCGGGCGAGGCGGAGUUGCACCCUUAAAGGGCAAUUGGCCAAUCCUUGACUGUAGCACCAAUCGGCCGAUUUCCAACCGUGACCUCUGUGUCUUGCCGCAUCUCCUGAGUUCUUCCUUUCCUGACGCCGAUUUCAUACGUGUCAAAAUAUGGCGUCAACAACUACUAACAAAGAUUCCAUUUUGCGCAUGAACUCAUAUACCUUUUACAUUGGAUUUUUCUUAAAUUUGCUCCAAACAUUGCUAAUCAAUGCCGUUUUUCAGACAACAUUAUUUCGGCAAGAAGCCUGAAAUCUGUGCAUUUGCUGAAUUUUGGGCUUCGCUUUAAAUUCGAACCUUCCACUUUCUCUGGCCAACAACAUUUCAUUUACCUUCUCUAUAGUCCAUAUUUCACUAAUGUCCAAAAACAUCUGCUCACUUACAAGAACAAUUCUCCAGAAAUUGGCUCCAAAGUUGUGUACUCAAUAUUAAUUUCAGAGUUACGCGUUUUCGGAUGACUAAGUGACUUUGUUGAUUCCAUAUUCGAUUGUAUUUAUGAGAGCUUUAUAACUUGAUUUAGACUUCAGAUUCAUUCCUUUGAGUUCUGAAUACUCUCAAGACUCUAUUUCCUAUUUUUGCCAAAUUUAUCCAAAUUUGAAACUCCAAAUUGCAAAUUUGGUUGAACUCGGCUCAAAUUCGAUUUUGGCUCAAAUUACCUUCCUUUAAUCCAACUUCACCAUUAGCUUCUUAAUGUGAUACUUAAGUUGUCAUUAACACUGGGUGUUACAGCCUCCUUGUCGCCCACCUCCGUCCCCGCCGCCUCCGUGCCCGCCAUCGCCCGCCGCUCUAGCCGCCGUUGCCUGCCGCCCUGGCCUACCGCCACCUCCUCCGUCGCGCCCCCUCAUUGCCACCUCCCUCUGCGCUGCCUCCUCAUCGCCGCCUCUCCAUCGCCACCUCCGUCGUCUGUGCCAGCUCCGACCCCGCUGCCACCGGCAUGCGCCGCCCCGACCUCCUCGUCUUCUGCAUUGCCACUCCAUCGCCCCGUCCGCCGUAGCUCGCCGCCAAGCCUCUGCCACCUGCCACCCCGGUGACGUGCGGCGCCACCCCCAUCGCGACCCCCGGCCCUCUCCACACGUACAAUGGGGCCCUUGCUGACGCUAGGGCCCUUUUUUAUUUUUUUAGUUAGAAAAUCAGUAUGAUUAGUACAAAAUCAGUAGGAAAUUACUAUUAUUAGAUGAAAAUCAGUAGGAAAUUACAAUAAUUUAGUUCAGAUGCUUAGUAUAAUUUUGUAUACAUUUUGUAUAACUUUGAGAAAUUACUACCUUUUAUUAUAAAUGAUUCGAAAAUUAGUAGAAAUUUGUAGCAAUGCUUAAGAUUUAUUCAGGAUAAGUUCUUAGUAUGAUUUUGUACACAUUUAGUAUAAUUUUUAGUACAUUAAUAUUAUUUAGUACAAAUGCUUCAAAAAUUAGUAAAAAUUAGUAGAAAUUUGGUAGAAAUUCUUAGAAAUCAGUAGAAGUUUGUAGAAAUUUGGUAGACAUUCUUAGAAAUCAUUAGAAAUUUGUAGAUACACUUCAAAUUUGGUACAAAUUCUUAGAAAUUAGUAGAAAUUUGAAGAAACACUUCAAAUUUGGUAGAAUUGCUUAAAAUUAGUAGGAAUUAGUAGAAAUUUGGUAGAAAUUCUUAGAAAUUAGUAGAAACACUUCAUGUAGGAUUCGUUCAAGACAUUUCAUGUAAGUUUCAUUCAAGACUUUCAUGUAACUUUCUUGUAAGUUUUCAUGUAAGUUUCAUUAAAGACAUUUCAUGUAUGUUUCAUUCAAGAUAUUCAUGUAAAUUUCUUGUAGGUUUUCAUGUAAGUUUCAUUAAAGACAUUUUAUGUAAGUUUCAUUCAAGACAUUCAUGUAAAUUUCUUGUAAGUUUCAUGUAAGUUUCAUUUCGUGUAUGGUUUCAUGUGUAGAUUUCAAUCAGUUUGUUUUUUUUUCAUGGUUGUUCUAUGAUUUCAUGUAUAUACCUUAACGUACAUGUAACUAUGAUUUCAUGUGUGUUUAACGUAGUUGAGAUGGCAGACGACAAGACCGCAAGCUAUCUAAUGGAGCAGAUUAUUGCUGAUGGUAGUGGCUCCAACCUUCCCGUAACGUACAUCGAUAAAGAGGGUACCUAGGCGAACAUGUUCCUCAACAUGUCUAGCGAUGGCAAUGAAGAGCCUCAGCCCUAGCAAAACCUUAUCGUGAUGGAAGGUUCCAGCGAGGUAUAUAUCAUUUCCAUUGUUUUACCCCAUCUAUAAUGUCUUAUUCAUUAUUAUUAUAUACUAAUUAACGAAUCUUGAACUGUUAGCCCUCUGGAUCGAUGAACCGUCAUAAGCCCCGAGGCCGUACAAAGGUGAUGGAUGGAGGGCUUAUCAUCAUGGAAGUCACAGAAGAGGGCAAGCCGGUUGCUCCCGAAAACAUGGCAAAAAAGUACGUGAGCCAGAUCGAGGCAAUCGUAAGGGACAACGUGCCCAUCAACAUCAUGGAAUGGAGGGGUGAAAGUACUAAUGCAUACGCGCUCUCGGAUACAGAAAAGGAAAUGUUGUGGUUAGAUGUUAAGAAACAUUUCACAUUUUCCCGAAGGAUGUAAUGAAGAUUAUGUGAAAUCGUGGAUGCUGAAGAAGAUGGCCACACAAGAAGGGCUGAUGUCCACAAUUCAAUGAGUGGUGAGGGACCACUGGGAGUCAUUUGUUGAAUACAAGACGAGCGAAACGGUGCGAACAAGGUUCGCACCAACUUUGUAAAUGCUGGCAAGAAGGAGUACCAUCAUUGUCUAGGGCGAGGUGGUUACAACACUACAAUUUCUAGAUGGCGCAAGAUGGAACAAGACCUGAUUGAUUGGGGUAUCCUACCAGCAACUCUUGAAUAUCCUGAUCGAUCGAAAAAUUGGUAUUACGCUCAUGGAGGCAACAUGAGCCAAGAGGAUGGGACACUGAUCUUCAAUGAGACAAUAUGUCAGAAGGCCAAAAGGCUUAUCAAGAACAUUGAAGAUGACACGGCUGGGAGUUGAAGGUGGACCGAGAGAAUAAUGAGCUAACAUUGGCCCAAGAAUCCCGAGCACCUAGGAUAUUGCCGAGGGUACGGGGUCAUUCUGUGGAAGUUCGCUUUUCGAGGCGACAUGUACUCAUACAGAAGCCGCAAGCGAAGAAAGGAAUAGCAAGAGGAGAGCUGGCGGCGCAUGUUAGAAUCCAAAGUGCAUUCACAUGAAGUAAGAAUGCAGGAGGAAAUCAAUCAUCGAGUGGCCCUAGCAGUUGCGAAGUUGGCCCAAUCUAGAGCACUACCGGAUCCAAACGUUAGAUGAGCAACGGUUCUUUGUGGCUGUGAUCACGCAACGCACCUCAUGUGAAUGGCAUAAACUGGUCGGCAACGUCACCAUUAAGGUAUACUUAUACAUAAUAAUUAUGCAAUCUUCUCAAUCCAUCCACGCCUCGGGAGUUUAAUAACUUCUUUAUUUCUACUAUAUGUACAAGUGGCAUACGAGAGUGCCUUACCAAUCCUGCCAGGGUAGACAAGCGAUGCCAUGGAGGUUCUACCUGGCUACGCUAGCGUCAGCCUAGAGCUGCUCGUUGAUAGCCAAUAUGAAGGCCUAGAGCUCGACCUCCCGGGAGGCGAUAGGGAAAGGACACUAGGAGAUGCGCUUCACGGGAUCAUUCUAUGGUGCAAAUGUUACAUCAUCAUCCCCGGCAUGGAGGCAUCAUUGCUCCCCGUAGAUCCCCAGCAGCGACCAUCUCCUCAAAGCUCAAGAUCGUCAUCUCCAACACGGCCUUCUCCAGGACCGUCAUCUCCACCACAACUUGCUCCAGAACCAUCAUCUCCAGCACAACCAGCUCCAGGACUGUCGUCACCACCGGGACCGUCUCUUCCUGCUCGAUCACGGUCUCCAUCUCCAGCACAUCCUAGUGGUGCGAGCGACGAUGACAAUAACACCCCUUCCCAAUCACCAUCUCCAGGACUAAGAGCUGCAUCGAGCAAGGAACCUGUAGCAACACUUAAGAAGUCGCAACCACCGCCUCCCAAGCCAAGACAGAGAAAGAAGAAAACAAACGAGCCUGAAUUGACUCCUGACAAAUGUAGGGAGGAGAAAAUGCAUGAGGAUUGCUGGCCCAAACCAAAGCAGAAUGCAGGGAGCGGUUCAAGAAAAUGGCCGAAGAAAGAAAAGCAAAGGCGAUGGAGCCACCGCCAGUAGAUUGAAGACAAUUAAAUUUUUUUAUAAAGAUGUCAGAAGAAGCCAAGAAGAUGCUGCCACCUUAAACUACGAUCGGGUGUUAGUCAAGGCUGAUGAGAGGAAAAAAUGGAAAGGAAAGUCGUCUUCAAGGGGUACUAUCCUCCACCUUAGACAUCUACCGAAAAAGACUCUCAAAAGAAAGCAUCAAUGCUAGCAAUGCCCUUGGAUCAAUAAGACCAAGUAGUGAAAUUCAUACAAGAAACAGGAAUGUCCUUUUCUGAAUGUCUAGGGCAAAGUGAGCCACCAGCUGCAUAGCCAGUUGAACCGAAAUGGACCUUUUGAGCUAGGCAAGUCUCUGGUAAGGCCUGAGUUGAUAUGGAAACUAUCAACAAAGAUGUACAAAUUCCAUGAAUGGUACAUCAAGCAGUCCAUCGUUGACAGGGAAAUAUUCGACCUUAAGGUCAAACCAAUAGCCUGGUUGACGUCUCUCUCAUCAGCGCUUGGGCUCUGCAAGUGUUCGUUUAUCUAUGUGUAAAUUUUGGCUCAUAUCAUUAUUUUUUGUGCAUGCAUCGCCCUGCUAACUUCGUCUUCCAUUUUAUGUAGGAUGCUAAUUCAGAUGUGCUGACGAGAAGUGUACUUCCAUGUUGGCUUCAUGGAUCCAUCCCUAGUUAACCAACACAAGAUAUGGGAUUUUCCAGAGAAAACGUUGAUGGAAGUAUACAAUUUCCUGGACAAACAAAAUUACAGCAAGGAAUACAUCCUACUUCUAUACAACUUCAAGUAAGUGUGUGUAUACCAUCUAUUUUUAUUUUCUUUUUCCUUACCUGAUUAAUGUUAGUUAGCUCUAAUAUGAACAAUUACGUACGCAGUUUCCACUGGAUCCUCCUAAUAAUUGAGCCUGAUAGAAGCCACAUCACUGUCUUCGAUUCAUUGAGGAAACCACCGAAGGAGUACCAAGAUGUUCAAGACAUGCUAAACUUAAUAAUUCUGGACUUUAUCUCUGUGCAAAAGUUUGUUUCCUAAAUUUUCACCUAACACUGUAUCAUUCAUUAACACAAAGGUCCAUUCAAAGAAAAACUUACAUGGAACACAAACUUCCUGGCAUGUAUGAAGUUUGCAUAUUUUGUACAUUAUAUAGCAUGAAUAUUUCAUAACUUGUUUUUCCCCACUGUAGUGCUUAAGACAGGAACUCAAAAAUAAUCUAUGUGGCUACUAUGUCUGUGAGCACAUGCAUAGUUUUUUGGGACACAAGGUACUAAAGAUGACGCCGCACAACUAUAACGUACGUAAAAGAAAACUAUUAAUAGUUAAAUAUUUUCUAGCUCCUUAUAUUUAAUUGUUCGUGUAACAUUCACAUAUUUCCAGAUUACAGAUGCAUAAUAUUCAACAAAAACUCUUGGAGAAGGAAAGAAUAAUGGCAAUAUAUGAAGGUCUCAUGGGAUUCCUGGUGGACGAGGGGGUACAUCAACAAGGAGAAUUUUAUUACAAUGGACGAAAAUUAGACGCACUGAGCAACACCACGACGGGAAGAUCCAAGGAAUGACUGAGGCAAAUUUUUGUAUAUAUAUAUAUACUAAUUGUAUAAAUACUAUGCUAAGAUUUGUAUAGUAUGCUAAGAAUUGUAUAUAUACUAAGAAUUGUAUAUAUAGUAAUUGUAUAAAUACUAGUUUGAUUUCAUAAUAAAAAAAGUCUUAACUAAACUAAAGGGUACGUGAUGCAUGAAAUUACAGGUGCCUGCCUGCAUGGCGCCUGUAAUUUCAUGCAUGCACUUUAGUCCCGGUAGAAAAAACCAACCGGGACUAAAGGGAGCACCCUUUACUCCCGGUUGGUAAAACCAAUGAGGACUAAAGGGGCCUGUCCCGCGCCUGGCGUGGCAGCCCCUUUAGUCCUGGUUGGUUUUACCAACCAGGAUUAAAGGGUGUCUUUAGUCCCAGUUGAGUGACCCGAGACUAAAGACCCCCCAUUCGUCUUGAUUGCUUUAUCCCGGAUGGAUUUUCGGGAAAUUUUAUCCCUACCAACCAGGACUAAAGGUGAGUUUUCUACCGGUGCCUGUUCUAUCUCACUCAUUUGUCCUGUAGCUACAAGCUAAGGCCCCAUGUCAUCUAUGGCUUCUGUCCUGUAGCUACUAGCUAAGCCCCCGUAUCAUCCAUGGCUUCUGGUGCCUCCACCACACUGAAGAUGGCCUCUAUCGCCCCUUGCAUCCUGCUGGUCCUGCUGUCCAAUGGCCACCCUACGAUGGUGGCCGUUGAUUGUGUUGCGGUUUGCAAAGACCCGUGCCAGAGCUUUUCUAACGGGUUCUGCGCGGGUGGAGCCACUGGCGGUUGCACAACUACGGCAGCAGCUACAGCAUGCCGCAAUUUGGCGUUCUCGCAGUGUGCGAACAACUGCUUCAUAGUUUGCACUGCCGAGAUCAUCACGCCUUGCACUUGAAGAUGCAUUUGUGUUCCUACUUCCAUGUUAUUGUUACUGCAGAAUAAUAUGGAUAAAUACGUGCAAGCAGGCCUGCCGUCCGCGGGAGGAGGUACGCAAGCACGCAUGAUGAGCCACUGUUGUUUUUCCAUUUUAUCAUUUACUUAUUGAAGGCAAUGUACGUGCCUAUCUCCUGUGUGGUUGAGCAUGUCAUGUUGGAAUUCUGUCCAAAGUUUUACAUACCAUCUUGUAUUGUUGUGUAUGCGUAUCAAUAUAAUUUAUGAACUAUUUUCCUUUACCAUAGACAUUUCUAUGUUUAUUUGCAAGCACUACUAGAGAACUGACUUUAGAUCCCACCCCCUUUAGUCUCGGUUUAAUUUCGGACCAGGAGAAAACGGGGUGCGCCACGGUAGGCUAGAAUGGGGUGCACCUUUACUCUCUAUUCUUUUUUUGCAACCGGGACUACAGGCCACCCUUUAGUCUCAGUUAAAACGGCUAGUUAUUGGGCACCGACGGCGUCACCCUUUACCCCCGGUUGGAGCCACCAACUAGGACAAAAGAUCCAACCUUUUGUCCCGGUUGGAAAAUCCAACCGGGAUAACAGGUUUACUCCCAGUUGGUAAUUCCAACCGGGACAAAAGGUUGGAGCUUUUGUCCCGGUUGGUGUUACGAACCGGGAGUAAACACCAACCGGGAGUAAAGCUCUAAUCUUUUGUUCCAGUUGGAUUUACCAACCGGGGUAAAAUCUUAUCUACAAGAGGCCUUUCUUCCUCCUCCACUCCUCCAGCCCGAGCCACUCCACUCCACAAAGACAGAGAACCUCAUCCUCUCCAUGGCGCCGAAGCAAGCCUAGGGGAGGUGCUGCUGAAAUUUUUUUUCCUUAUUUCCGUGGGGAUUUCAUUCAUCCAAAGUGUUGUGAAGGUUAGCUACUUCAUGCUCCGUUCAUUUAUUGUUGUUAAGCUUUGUUUUAUACUUUAAAGAGGGAGAAAAAUGAGUUUGUUUAUUGUUAAGCAUGUAGAGGAUUUGUAUUUAUACAUGUUUUUGAGCUACAAUGUGAUGGAUAGUUUGAAUGUGAGGGAGAAUGGACAGUAAAUGUGAGGUAGAAUUGAGAUUAUUUCAAUUUUAUGUAUUAGGGAAAAAUUAGAGCAAAUGUGUUUUUAAUACUUAUAAAUUAGCCAUAUAAAUUGUAGGUGUAAUUUCAUACUUUAGUACUUUUCAAAUAGAGGUAUGCAAUUUGCCAUUUUUAGAAUAAGUACAUUAUGUGGGAAAUAUUGAAUUUUUUAAUAGUUUAGUUAUUUCUAAAUUAAAUAUGAGCUAAAUAAUUUGUGUAUUUCUAUGUAAACUUUCAGCAAUAUUUGAGUUUGUCGUAGUGUAUCAUGUUGUUUGCUUCUGAAAUUUUAAUUUGUGUAUUUCUAUCUAAAAUUUUAGCAAUGUGAUGGAUAGUUUUAUUGUAAUACAUUUUAUUGAUGGCUUGCGUAAUACGAUGCAGAUGGACCAGCAAUGGAUGUAUAACGCGGACAGGCAGAGCAAGGUGUUUAUUGCUGGCAUGAAUAAUUUUCUUGAAGUGGCCAAAGCGAACAAACCAGGGAACGGGUUCAUAUCUUGUCCAUGUGCCCAAUGCAGUAACCAGAAGUGCUAUUCAAAGGCUUCCUAGGGGACUAUUCAUAGCCACUUGUUUAGAUACGGUUUCACGCCUAACUAUUUGGUUUGGACCCGUCACGGUGAAAGAGGGGUUGUAAUGGAAGAUGGUGAAGAGGAGGAGGAUGAUGACAACAUUCCGAACUGCGCUACAGUCUAAUCUUUUGUAGAUACUACUGUGGCGGAUCCACUUCGGAUCUACUGGGUUAAACAUGAUUUAGCCGCCUGAUAUGCGACGCUCAUGCCUAAGCUGAGUAAACACGAAGUGCCAUCGGAUUUUACUCCGAUUUAACCACUUGAACAGGACCGGUUUAGCAGACUCACACGAAGGUGAGCGGUUCCAGAGAGUACAACGAGUCCACCAAGUUAACAAAUUAACCACUGGAUUUAGUUACGAAAAGGACGUCAGAGUUUUACAAGAUUUCGGAAAACAACAGAAAGUAAAACACUAGCAGAAGCAUUCGUCGGGGUCGGAUGUCCUGGUGAGGCCGGCUGGGACAUCACUGAUCCCUCUCCUCGCCGUCCGAGGAGGGAUCCCACUCGACCGUCCAGCCCGGCGGGAGCUGGGGCAGCCAAGCGCCAGCAAGAGAGGGGUCGGGAGCAGCAGCUUCACCUGAAAAACAGGAGCCACAACAAGGCUGAGCUACUAAGCUCAACAAGACUUAACCGAUAGGAGUAAAACUACUCCUCCUAGACAUGCAGGGCUUUUUUGGCUGAGGGGUUUGGUUGCCGAAAGCUCUAAUUGAAAACCCUAUUUUCAAGUUUUAGCUCCGGUUCUAGGUUCAUUUACCAGUCUAGGUUUUGCAACCUAUUCUAAGCAAUCGUGGAACCAAACAAGAUGUGUAGAUAUAUCAACAAACAUGUCAUCAUCAGAUUCCUCAUUUACUCAGGGUGACAUAGCGAUCAAGCAAUCUCAAACUGUGAGAGGCAGACGAAUCGAUUCGAGUUCUUUAACCAUGCAUGGUGAACCUAGCCUCAUGACAUCCACGUACCCGGAGGUCGCUUCCUGUGUCGGCCUUCCCCAUCAAUCCCCUAACCCGUGUCGGGCCUAUUUCCUUUGGUGCAAGGUUCCACAGACCCGGCCUCUGCCGUUCUGGGGCCACGCAUGCCACCACGUGCGACAUCCAGCAGGGGAAACUCCGUUCCAAGAAUAAUGGGGCGACCGCUCACGUCUAGGUUCAAUCCGGUACUAGGCUUCCUCAUCCCAUACUAAGUAUGAGGCUAGUACUUUCAAACACUUGAUCACGAACACCACCACUGUCGGACCUUAGCAAGUUUUUCAUAGACAGACGGGGCAACCAUCCGUCCACCAAAGAGUUACCCAAACCCUGCCCCAUCCAUCGUCCUUAUAGUUGUAACAGAAAGGUAGACAUCCAACUCCUACAACUCGCGAGUGACAGGGAAUCACUCGACUUUUACCGUCUCCUAGUUAAGCAAUGCAACUACUCGGUCUAACAGCUAGUGCUCACAUCAUGGGGAUAACUAAGCCAUGUGUCUAGGGUUUCAAACAACUCCUAUACGUAAAUGCACAAACAUAUUACAGAAGGCAUGCGCAAGUUUGGUAAAACACACAGGGUUUUCAUGCAACUGGGGCUUGCCUUCGAGCAAGGAGGAAGAGAACUGCUCGAUUUCUAGGACGGCUUCGGCUUCAGCGGGCAAGAACUCAGCUACAGCUUCAUCUUCUGGCGCCGGGUGCAGCUCGUAGAAGCUGUCGGCGAGGCGCAGCUCUACACGAAUGCAAUGCAAGAGUUAGCAUAGAUGGUUAUUUCAACAGCAACACUUGCUCGCCUGAGCCCAGAAACUCGCGACAAAGAGCAGGGGGGUUGGGGAGGUUCAAGAGAGCGGGUGAGGAUCAAGAGGCAAGGGUCGGAAAGGAAACUUAGGAUCUGAUCCUUGAACUAGAGGAUGCGGUAUACUAGGGAUCCUCAGACGCAAGCGCUGAAGGGUUCCUAAGUUUUUGCACAUACACCCUCGGGUUGAAGAAAAGAUCACAGCCGAGCCCUUGGGCAAGGCGGAUAAGGGUCGGCGGGACAGAUAGGGUCGGGCGAGACGGAACCGGGGUCGGGCGGAUAAGAGGGGUCGGGCGAAGCGGACUGGGGUCGGUAGCUUACCUUCUUCCUGAAAGGAAGGCUUGGGGUCGGGAAGAGGCAGACUUGGGCGGAGGGACUAAAGCUUUGAACACGGCUAAGACUGGCAGUGCUCCGGCGGCGGCGGUGCUUCUUGCAGAUCACAAGAGAGCUUUUGCGCAGCACGGAGGAGCAAGCUGCUGGGUGACUUGGGGAAACUGAGGGGAGCUGAGGGGAGGGUUCCUCAAGAACAUAUGUCACUUUAGUAUUAGGCAAGGAUGUGAUUAUAUGAUUAUAUGGACUGAUACCGGUUAAAAGAUCAUUAUCUAAUCAACCAUUCACGUCGCCCAUAGUGUAGGCAACAGGCCAUUCUAUUGCGAUCCUCUGUCGCCUAUCGCUUCCCUUGAGAAUUUGAAGUCAGAAAUUCUUUUGUUUCAAUUUUGCUAGGUCCACUAGUUUUCUUAAAUCAGAAUCAAGUUGAAACCAGAAGAGCCUUGUUAGCUUGUUUGAUCUAUACUUCGUUGUAGCAAAUGUAAAAUGACAACUCAUAUAAUGGUUGUUUCAUAUUCGAUCUGCAAGUCUUCUUCUCAUUCACACGAUGGAUGGCCAUAGGCACAAAGAGAAUCGAAGUAGUAGACCAUAAUCACUAUAGUAAAAGCUUAAAAUCUCAAAAUAUGUCAUCAUUUAUUUUUCAUUAUGUUAUCCAUAGAACUAUAGUAUGAGUUAGAAUAUUGCAUGGACAUCAGAUCAGCUACAACAUUUCCUAGCUUCGCCCUUCGCCGCCCCUGCAGCAGCUAGCCCAAUCCAGGAAAUGUAUUUCCCAGGUGGGGGUGAGCAGACCCUGGAAAUAAGCUGGGGACGGACCAGCACGUCAACCGUCUCUGAAAAUAGCCCAUUUCAGAGGUGGGCAACUCCAUGGUCCGUCCUAGCAGAUUGAAUUACAGGAGCAGACGACACGAAGCAUCACCCUGCUGCUCAACCAAAUUUUGUAUGGACAACGCGCAAAUGAAAAGGCAAGCGGAAAGCAUAAGGUCCAUUCUGCUCCGCACAUAUAUCUUAUCUCAACCACAGCUUUCCAUGUCAUCUCCUUAGAGAAACUCCGACAGAUUGAUUUUCCACAUUCCCCUUUAUCCUCUUAUAGGGCAUUCCCUUUCACGAUUUCUGAAUUUUGAAGACUAGUGGGGCAAGAAAUUUUGUAUAGUAACAAAGAUAAUCUCAGCCCCACUUGCUACACAUACAUGCACGGUAAAUAGAAAGGGUUAUUUUCUAUGUCAAAGGCAUGCUCAGCUUCAAAGUCGUUCUGUUGUUAGCAUCGUUGUGUUGUUUCUGCUAACGUGCAGGAGGAAGCGAAAACACAGAGUAGAAAGAGGAUGAGAAAUUAAAGAAGACAAUGAAGCUCACGUUCACGUCUACAUGAGGGAGCUCUCACACAAGCAAGUCCAUUCAUCCUCUGUCUCCAUGCUGUUGAUGAUGACAUGUCACAUGUCCUUUGCCUUGACGUCGGCGGCAGGCCGGCAGCCCAAUGAACCCAUGACGAACAGCAUGAGCAUGACCAGCUAACUUCAUUGCUGAGUACGACAUGUGGUUAUCCUUGCUAUAACUAAUGUUGGUCAGAAGAAGAAGCUGCUAUAAAGUUGUUCUGAAGACGCUGAGUUCUAGGCGUACGCAAGCCCCGGUUGAUUGCCUGCGAAGUUUGGAUCCUUCGUUUCCAGGAUUAAGCUGUAAAUCUCCGAUAGACUCUCUUUAUAUCUCUUUAUGUGAUACUGUUACUGUUAUUCACUGAUGAUGUGACUAUAUGUAUGAAACUUGAUCAUGUCAUACAUACAGUUAGCACUUGGUUUUGCUGUUCUAAAAUCAGAUGUGACACCUAUGAACCCAUGACGAACAGCAUGAGCGUAACCAGCUAACUUCAUUGCUGCUGCCUUUCGUAGAUGUUGGUGAACAUGACGUGUCUUUCAUCUCCACGAUGGCGACGGAUCCAAAGAUCGAAGAACAUGCAUCAACGCGAUCCGUAUGGCGUGUUUUCUGGUAUUUCCACCCCAUGAUGUAACGCCGACCGGGUUCCAUACGAGGCCUACGGCCAGUCUGUUCACUUUCAUCAUGUGCUCCGAUGAGAGUUCAUCACCGUGAUAAAAGACGGAGACGAGGGCACACAGUCGUAGCUGCAAGUAAGGCCAACAGGCUGAAGGCCAUGGCUUUACAGCCAGCAGUCCACCCUUGCAUGCACUCACGGACUAUUACCGAACUAGCAAUUGGUACUUUGACGCGCUACAUGGACCCUUACAAAAUUAAAAAAAUGAACGUCAACAAGCAAAUGAAACUGCAUGAACUGAAGUAGGGAAAUGAAGACCACGUACAGUUCUUAUUGAAGCUGAAAUGUAUGUCAUAAAAGUAUUAUUGUUAGAUUGAAGUCAAUUUAAAUAUUUAAACGAGUAACGAGGGCUCGGAUUAGUAGAAGGUGUUAGUAAGGCCCUCCAAUAGACCACUCAAUGAUUUUUAGAUCCAACUGUUUAUAUAGUAAGUUCGGAUAUUUAAUUAAUAAAUUGAAGUUGCCUUAAGAUAUGCAUAGUAAAUCACAAGACCAAAGUGGAAUAACCAUUAGACAACUAAUAAAACCAUCAUUAAGUUUUUGUCUACUUUUAGCAAUAUUGCUUAGGUUUUCUAUUUCGUCUAAAUAUAUCUUAAGCGGCUCAUAUGUCCAAAUUACCCACACAGUGAAUAAAUGUCGUUCCAGUUCAAGGAUUCAUGUGGAGUUGUCACACACUAGUGUGAACCCAUCAAGUGUGUGUCUUGCUUCCCUUUUCAAUCAACAAGCUACCUCCCUGAUUUGAAUAUAAUAAACUUAAAUGCUUCAGUUUCUAUGGUCCAUUGUUAUGUGAUGGACAUGAAAAAUGAAAAAUAUAGCCUACAAUGUUCAAAAUGCAUCUGAAGUACUAGGGUAUAAAAUAAGCUCACUGCCAUCCAAGUACAAGGGUUAACAACUAGAAAUAUAACCUUUAUUGCUAUCUGUAAACAAAAUAUGCCUGUUGAAUUACAUGUCGGGAAAGGUGAAUGCACGGAUUAACGGCUAGUAUUAGCUAAUUUUGUUGUCUUUUUUGUUAAUAACUAGGUUUCCAAUGCCAAACUCUGCGUAAGGGUUCAGCAACUGGCUACAUAUUGGAAAGGAGUUACUGUUGGUGGCUAGCCCUCAUAAGAGAUAACUAUUUCAUUCCUGAUGCCUUCCAUGCCUAUGGAUGUACCGCGUGCUCGAGUAAGCUAUGCUUGCAGAUGGAUCUUAAACCUGAUGUCAAAUUGUUUAUAAUUGAAAGAGUUUGCUGUUUGUCUGCUUUAGGGAAGAUGGGUAGCACGUUUAUAUGCCAUUAAUUCUCAUGAAAGAGUGCAUAUACCAUGUUUGUCGCAGCAAGAUGAGGCUGUAGAGUAGUAGAAGUGUAGAACAAUGGUACAGGUUGUAUGAAUAAUUUAUUGAAGGGAAUCAUAGACGCCACAGCCACUGAAGCUGUCGGGGCAUGAUUAGCCAAUGGUCUAAUUCCUGAUAUCUCCGUAUCCUAAUUUUCUGAAGCCUUACGGACUCUACCCUCCUCACUUCAUAUAUAUUAGUGUUUAUAAUAGCGGUUUUAUAAGAAGUGCUGAAGGUAUUGGUCCUGCUAUAUCUUGCUUCCACUACCGGAUUUGUGUACGAAAUAUUAAUUCUUGAGAUUUGUCAAUGAUUUUAGGAAGCAAUGAUACCUUCAACUACCGGAUUGCAUAUAUAAGUUAGUCUUAGCCAGUUAUAUAUCAGAGGAGGAAGCACGCAUUAAAUAAUAAAUAACUCAUGUUGAUUCAAUUGGUAACCUGGCCUCUAAAAAGAAAAGGACUCUGUGCUCAAAAAAUGAAAAAAAGUAGCCUGCUAAUAACAAUGUCGACACUUUACAUCUGAGCAGCUAGCUCCGUGAUGCUUUAUCUGGCUAGUGAACUACCUACCUAUGUUAUUUAAACAUUUUUGCUGCCUAUAAAUUGGGCAUCAUUUCAGCAGACCACCACAGCACCUGAGCUUGCCAUCUUUUCCUGUUCUAUCUCACUCAUUUGUCCUGUAGCUACUAGCUAAGCCACCAUAUCAUCCAUGGCUUCCGGUGCCUCCACCACGUUGAAGAUUGCCUCUAUCGCCGCUUGCAUCCUGCUGGUUCUGCUGUCCAAUGGCCACCCUACAGUGGCGACCGUUGAUUGUACUGCGGCUUGCAAAGAGCCGUGCGAGAGCUUUUCUAAGGGAUUCUGCGCGGGUGGAGCCACCAGCGGUUGUGCGACUAAGGCAGCAGCUACAGCAUGCCGCAAUUCGGCGUUCUCGCAGUGUGCGAACAACUGCUACACAGUUUGCACCGCCGGGACCAUCGCGCCUUGCGCUUGAAGAUGCAUUUGUGUUCCUACUUCCACAUUAUUGUUACUGGUGAGUGUGUGCAAGCAGGCCUGCCGUCCACGGGAGGAGGCACGCAAGCACGCAUGAUAAGCCACUGUCAUUUUUCCACUUUAUCAUUUACUUAUUGAAGGCAAUGUACGUGCCUAGCUCCUGUGUGGUUGAGCAUGUCAUCUUGGAAUUUUGUCCAAAGUUUAACAUACCAUGUUGUAUUGUUGUGUAUGGGUAUCAAUAUAAUUUAUCAACUAUUUUGCGUUUACCAUAGACAUUUCUAUGUUUAUUUGCAAGGGUUAGGGAAAUUUGUCCUUGAUAGUGUACUAACCGCGUCUGCCAACUGAACAGAUCAACUUUCUCAACAGCCUAUCUCCUCCUUGAAAAAAUAUUCGUUUUAGAAAUGGUUUGUUUCUUUUCUGUAUAGCUCUAUCACCCAUCACCGUGAGGGUUACAAAACUCGGCGCAAGCGUUCCAAGCUGUGGCGCCACAAACCACAUAAGCUGUGGCGCAAGGGUUCUAGCUGGCUAGUCACAAAAAACUAUUUCAUCCCGGAUGUCUUCCAUGCCCAUGGACCUGCCGCUUUCUUGAUCGAGUAAUCUAUGCCCAUGAAAGGGUUCGGUAUUUGUCUGAUCGAGGAAGACGAGGUAGCACAUUUAUGUGAAAGCAGUACUGGCGGACAUGAUGGUCGGUGGCCUAUUGAUUAUCUUCCAACUCCUUUAUGCCAUUAUCAGUACUACAGAAAUCAUUUGUAGGGGUGAAGUGUUUUUUUUUAGGGUGGACCAAAAGGUCUGCCGCCCCCAGGGGCGGAGCUACAGUCAACCAUCGAUGAUUUGGUCGCGAGCUCUUAUAUCCUUCCCAGGAGAACUGCCCAUACGUUGCUACGGAUAAAAAUAAUGUAUAUAAUUACAUUAAUCAUGAUUUGUUAUUUCAAAUGUGUGACAUAUUAUCGAAUUUACGUAUCUUUCUAUGCAUUUUUCGAACAAAGAGAUAUUUUUAUAAUAAUUUUAUCAGAUUAACAUGAGACAUAAUCUUCUAUGGUAUAUUAUGUACUCUAGUAUGUAAAUCUUAUGUUUGUUUGUGUAGUCUUCUACGUUGCUCGCUUUUUAUAAUAAAAGUAGAGAGAGGUGUGCGCCUGUGAACAACAAAAACCCAAAAAUGUACACAAUAAUCAAUAAAUUAUAAUUAUUAUUUUUUCCUAGAAUAAAAAUAUGGACUCAUCGAGCCCAUGAAAAGCGCAAGGAGGUGGCCCGGCAGCCCCAUCCAUCCAUCCAUUGUUAUCCACACUUGCUAAACAAAUGAAUUAAAAACAUAAUUUUAUCAACACAAGAGACGGAUUAAUUGUUUGGUACUGAACUUUCUUGGACGUUGCUGUUGCUGGAUUCGGCAUUAGGAAGGCGUCGCUCGGCCGUGCAGAGGUGCCAUUGUGGCUUUGUGGAGGCACCCCUACGUUGUGUCGGAGCGGAGCUGCAGGCAGCGUAAGCGGCCGGGUAGCACGCCACAACAUGCUAGAGACAGCGCCGAGCCUUGAGCCUUCGACUGGGGCUGCUUAUAGAGCCAACACCGCUCUGUAUCUUGCUCAGUGGAUGCGCGGACGACGGCGAGCGGCGCCUAGGAGAACUGCAAAUGCUCCUGCACACAUGCCCCAUGGGCCGGAACUGCACACUAACCCCCGCGAACGAUGGUAGUAGGGCAACAAAGCUGGCCAUGGCGCUGCUCGUUGAGCUUUCCGUGUGCGCGAACAGGCAUUUGAUAUGUUCCCUACAAAAUUAAAGGUUGUUUGAUUCAACGGUCAAAUAGUGCGAGCAUGUUAAUUGAUGCGAGUGUAUUGUGGGAACUGCCAAGGAACUGCAGGGCAUCGAGCAAGCAGUGGUGUUGCUCGGAAGUACCAGCACUAACGCGCUUUCCGAUGUGUCUCCAGCGGGGGUGGCAGCGUCUGCCUGCUGGGCAGCAGUUUCACCCUAUUCUGGGCAUCUCCCCACCCGUCUUGGCCAUCAUUACCUCUAGCAUCGUUAAGGUAUGGCUUCCUUUCAGCCUCGGCCGUUUCUUUCUCCAAUGACCGGUUAAAAGAUCAUUAUCUAAUCAACCAUUCACGUCGCCCAUAGUGUAGGCAACAGGCCAUUCUAUUGCGAUCCUCUGUCGCCUAUCGCUUCCCUUGAGAAUUUGAAGUCAGAAAUUCUUUUGUUUCAAUUUUGCUAGGUCCACUAGUUUUCUUAAAUCAGAAUCAAGUUGAAACCAGAAGAGCCUUGUUAGCUUCUUUGAUCUAUACUUCGUUGUAGCAAAUGUACAAUGACAACUCAUAUAAUGGUUGUUUCAUAUUCGAUCUGCAAGUCUUCUUCUCAUUCACACGAUGGAUGGCCAUAGGCACAAAGAGAAUUGAAGUAGUAGACCAUAAUCACUAUAGUAAAAGCUUAAAAUCUCAAAAUAUGUCAUCAUUUAUUUUUCAUUAUGCUAAAAGAUGGAGAUGAGGGCACACAGUCGUAGCUGCAAGUAAGGCCAACAGGCUCAAGGCCAUGGCUUUACAGCCAGCAGUCUUGCCUUGCAUGCACUCACGGACUAUUACCGGACUAGCAAUUGGUACUUUGACGCACUAUAUGGACCCUUACAAAAUUAAAAAAAUGAACGUCAACAAGCAAAUGAAACUGCAUGAACUGAAGUAGGGAAAUGAAGACCACGUACAGUUCUUAUUGAAGCUGAAAUGUAUGUCAUAAAAGUAUUAUUGUUAGAUUAAAGUCAAUUUAAAUAUUUAAACGAGUAACGAGGGCUCGGAUUAGUAGAAGGUGUUAGUGAGGCCCUCCAAUAGACCACUCAAUGAUUUUUAGAUCCAACUGUUUAUAUAGUAAGUUCGGAUAUUUAAUUAAUAAAUUGAAGUUGCCUUAAGAUAUGCAUAGUAAAUCACAAGACCAAAGUGGAAUAACCAUUAGACAACUAAUAAAACCAUCAUUAAGUUUUUGUCUACUUUUAGCAAUAUUGCUUAGGUUUUCUAUUUCGUCUAAAUAUAUCUUAAGCGGCUCAUAUGUCCGAAUUACCCACACAGUGAAUAAAUGUCAUUCCAGUUCAAGGAUUCAUGUGCAGUUGUCACACACUAGUGUGAACCCAUCAAGUGUGUGUCUUGCUUCCCUUUUCAAUCAACAAGCUACCUCCCUGAUUUGAAUAUAAUGAACUUAAAUGCUUCAGUUUCUAUGGUCCAUUGUUAUGUGAUGGACAUGAAAAAUGAAAAAUAUAGCCUACAAUGUUCAAAAUGCAUCUGAAGUACUAGGGUAUAAAAUAAGCUCACUGCCAUCCAAGUACAAGGGUUAACAACUAGAAAUAUAACCUUUAUUGCUAUCUGUAAACAAAAUAUGCCUGUUGAAUUACAUGUCGGGAAAGGUGAAUGCACGGAUUAACGGCUAGUAUUAGCUAAUUUUGUUGUCUUUUUUGUUAAUAACUAGGUUUCCAAUGCCAAACUCUGCGUAAGGGUUCAGCAACUGGCUACAUAUUGGAAAGGAGUUACUGUUGGUGGCUAGACCUCAUUAGAGAUAACUAUUUCAUCCCUGAUGCCUUCCAUGCCUAUGGAUGUACCGCGUGCUCGAGUAAGCUAUGGUUGCAGAUGGAUCUUAAACCUGAUGUCAAAUUGUGGAUAAUUGAAAGAGUUUGCUGUUUGCCUGCUUUAGGGAAGAUGGGUAGCACGUUUAUAUGCCAUUAUUUCUCAUGAAAGCGUGCAUAUACCAUGUUUGUCGGAGCAAGAUGAGGCUGUAGAGUAGUAGACGUGUAGAACAAUGGUACAGGUUGUAUGAAUAAUUUAUCGAAGGGGAUCAUAGACGCCACAGCCACUGAAGCUGUUGGGGCAUGAUUAGUCAAUGGUCUAAUUCCUGAUAUCUCCGUAUCCUAAUUCUCUGAAGCCUUACGGACUCUACCCUCAUCACUUCAUGUAUAUUAGUGUUUAUAAUAGCGGUUUUAUAACAAGUGCUGAAGGUAUUGGUCCUGCUAUAUCUUGCUUCCACUACCGGAUUUGUGUACAAAAUAUUAAUUCUUGAGAUUUGUCAAUGAUUUUAGGAAGCAAUGAUACCUUCAACUACCGGAUUGCAUAUAUAAGUUAGUCUUAGCCAGUUAUAUAUCAGAGGAGGAAGCACGCAUUAAAUAAUAAAUAACUCAUGUUGAUUCAACUGGUAACCUGGCCUAUGUCACUCGGAUACACCGUUUCUCUGAGGUGUUCCAGGAGGCGUAAGUUGUGGAACAAUUCCGCAACUCUUUAGAUGAUUGCUAAACUCGUGGCUCAAAUACUCGCCUCCACGAUCAGAUCGUAAGGCUUUAAUUUUUUUGCCAUGCUGAUUUUCAACUUCAUUCUGAAAUUCCUUGAACUUUUCAAAGGUUUCGGACUUGUGCCUCAUCAAGUAGACAUAGCCAUAUCUACUAAAAUCAUCAGUGAAAGUUAUGAAGUAUUGGAAUCCUCCUCUAACCUUCGUGCUCAUUGGUCCGCAUACAUCACUAUGUACGAGUUUCAACAAGUCUACUGCUCUCUCAGAAAAUCCUGUGAAAGGUGUCUUGGUCAUCUUGCCUAGCAAGCAAGCCUCACAUAUCUCGUAUGAUUCAAAAUCAAACGAAGUUAGAAGUCCAUCAGAAUGGAGCUUCUUCAUGCGCUUUUCACUUAUAUGACCCAAACGACAAUGCCACAAGUAGGUAGGACUCAAAUCAUUAGGCCGAGGCCUUUUAGCACUUACGUUACAGACAGGUGAACCAUCAAGAUUUAAAACAAAUAAUCCAUUCACAAUGGGCGCAAAAGCCAUAAACAUAUCAUUCUUAGAGAUCACACAACCAUUGUUUUCACUCGCAAAUGAAUAACCAUCCUUCAUCAAGCAUGAAGGAGACAAAAUGUUUCGACUUAAACUAGGAAUGAAAUAACAAUUAUUCAACUCCAUAAUAAAUCCUGACGGGAGGUGGAGUUGCAUCGUCCCGACGGUCAACGCAGCAACUUCUUGCAUUAUUGCCCACGCGGAAAUCAACUUCUCCUCUUUCCACACUUCUACUUCUUAUCAUUCCCUGCAUCGAAUUGCAAAUAUGAGCAACCGAUCUGGUAUCAAAUACCCAAGAAUUAAUAAUUAUCUAUAACAUUAACAACAAGCGUACCUGAGGUAGAAGUAUUCUUACUUCCGCCAUUCUUCAACGAAGCUAGGUAUUGCUUGCAGUUUCUCUUCCAGUGACCAGGUUCGUGACAAUAAAAGCACUCUUUGUCUGGAGUAGGCCCAGCUUUAGCCUUGGGCGCUGGGUUUGGCUUAGACAGUCCAGCCUUACCCUUCUUCUUCCAAAAAUUGCCCUUCUUAUUGAAGGUAGGCUUGUUCUGUACAGCCAUCACAUGGUUGGUACUAGCGCUUUUCUUAAUGUCUACCUCUGCUGUCUUGAGCAUACCAUAUAGUAUAUUCAGACCCUUCUCCGUCCCAUGCAUAUGGUAGUUCGAGAUGAAGUUCCCAUAGCUAGGCGGAAGAGAUGAAAGAAUGAAGUCAGUGGCCAACUCUUUGCCCAUUGGGAAGCCCAUCUUCUCCAAUCGCUGAGUGUAACCAACCAUCUUGAUUACAUUUGGUCCUACUGUUGCGCCUUCUGCUAGCUUGCACUCCAGAAAGGCUUUGGACACAUUGAACCUUUCAGUCCUAGCCUGUGUCUAGAACAUGUCCUUGAGCGCCACGAUCAUAUCGUGUGCCUCAUGAUUUGUUUCGAACUGCAUCUGCAGCUCGGGUUCCAUGCAAGCAAGCAUAAGGCAGCUUACCUCAAGAUUAGCAUCAAAUGCCUUCUUGUAAGCAGCCUUAACGGCAGCAGAUGAAUCAUCAGCAGGUACUGGUGGUAGUGGGGUGUCUAGAACAUCUUCCUUUUUAUCGGCCCUGAGAACAAUUCUCAGGUUACGGAUCCAAUCCGAGUAGUUUGUUCCAUUCAACUUGUCCUCUCAAGGACCGAACGCAAAGCAAAUGGUGUGGUGUUGCUAGGUGCCAUUUAAUCUACAACAAAAGUAAUGCAAAAUACACUAAGACAAACAUAUCCAUGAUAGAGCAAAUCACAUUAAACUAUGUUAACAGAAUCUACUCCCACUAAAAUCAAUAUCCCUCUAUUGAUACUUAGUGAUUCAGGAUCCACAACUAACAAGUCUACUAGUGAGCUUUAGCAUCACCGCUAGCAAACAAAGUAGAUCGGUAAGCAACUUUUCCUAAUCAUAUCACAUAUGACUCCUGUUGUUGGGUGACAUCUCCAUGUCUCGGCGCCCAACCUUUAUGCCCCAAGGUCCUUAAACGUUAAGUUAACCUUGUUAAGCAAACCAACCCUUAUGCAUGUAAGUGUGCGACACAAACCCGUCUAAUCAAGAAAAACUAGUGGCACCCUAAUUUCAUAGACCCACCACUAAUUGUACAAGACAUGGGACGGUGCAAGUUUUAGUUGGGAGGGCAUACUAACUUAAAAUUUGUGAGGGAUCGUUCUACUUCUAACAUCACAGCAUGCAGAAAGUAAAACAUAAACAGAAUAGCAUUCACACAGUUGUGACACAGUAUGACCCGUUUUCUUAUGGUGAUCUUCAUCUCCAUAGAACCUGUUCACCAUGGUGAUCUCCAUCUCCAUGUUCCAUGUGCGCCAUCCUCUUGGUGAUGAGUCCUCCAAGAACUAGAACAUGCUAUUACGCCUAAUAGCUAGUAAAAAGCUAGUAAUGAAGAUUACAUAGUUGGUUGGAUCAUCACAGAUUGGUACGCAGACCAUUAAAUACAUUAAGGUAACAACACAUAUGGCUCCUGCCGUGUUGCCGUACGCACGACACGCAGGUCACGAAUGAGUUACACACAUGCAUCACAUACACAAAGGGGCCAUACUGAUCACAAGAUACAUACAUCUUGCAAAACAGAGUUAAGCGUCCUAACGUUCCAAACUUUGGAGGCCCGAAACUCCAUCUUCCAAGCCGAAUUUGGGAAAUCUAAUGUCGCCGAAAAUGGCGAAGCAGUCGAAUUUCAUGUGUAACUUUUUCUGUAGAUCAAUUUUUAUAUAAAAUUCGCCCCGAUCCGAGAUCGUAUCGAAAAGUUACGGCUGAUUUACCGAAGCAUACGCACACGGCAAAAUCCCGACCCCGGCAGUAGAUCCCAUCUACUAUUGCACAUCUCAUGUGCCUGGCGUAUGAACCUAGAUUUCGAUUCGACCAAUCACAUUGAUCUUCGCUCACUGCAACUGGAAUUACGUGUAUCACCUAACUCCGAUGGUGGAAACCCAACCGGUAGGAGUAUGUCGUUACACUACCAUAGCAGCAAGAACACGAAACCAGGACGGAGAUCAAAUUGAAAACUCGCAUAUCUCCAUAUGCACACAUCCCAAAUCCAAAACUAAACAGCUACGGCUCUGAUACCACUGUCGGGAUACGAGGUAGGCUACACUAGCGCAAAUAAAAAAUUUUCUACCGCGUAAACCAGGGAAACUGCCGUAUAAGGAUCACGGGAUUACCACUCGACACACUACUAGUGCGCAAGAUGUAGAUUCACGUCGAUGCAGCGAAGUCGAUCAACGUAGUCGUAUGUAGUCGAUCACGUCGACGUCCAACAGCUCCUCAGCAGCUCGUCCACGUGCAGCAAGAUCUCCCUCGUGCCGCGGCUUGUCGGCGGCUCGUCACGGCUCGUCGGCGGCUCGUCCAAGUGCUGCAGGCGCAACACCUCCAAGGUAUCCACACGUGCAGGGAGGAAGCGUCACAAGCCGGACUGCUAGAUCCGUAAGUUGCAACAGGCGUGGGAGGCGCGGCUGAUGAGUUUCGUCAAAAUGGUGUAAACCCUAGGGCGCCCCCACCCCUCUAUUUAUAGAGGUUCCUAACGGGCCUCUGGGUCCGAGGCCCAUUAGUACUUCUAAACCUAAUCCAACUCGGAUCACAUCCGAAUUGGGCUUCCAGCCCCUUAAGUGUAUGACCCUAUGGGUUCGGAUACGUAUAGACAUGGCCCGAGUACUCUUACUCGGCCCAAUAGUCGGUAGCGGCCUCUAGCAAGACAUGCCAACUCCUAGAUGCACACGAAGAUCAUAUCAGACGAACCAUCACAACAUUAUAUACAUGCUAUUCCCUUUGCCUCACGAUAUUUUGUCUAGCUUCAAGCCGACCGCUCUUUCUCGAUCCUGUGAUUCGGAAUCCCUUUGUAGGUUAACUCUUAACCGUACGUAGCAUGGCCAUGCAUUUUUGGAUCCGAUCACUCGAGGGGCCCAGAGAUAUCACUCUCAAUCAGAGAGGGGCAAAUCCCAUCUUGAUUAACCAUGUCUCAUAGCAUGCUUCUUGACAAAACCGAAAGCUACCUUUAUAACUACCCUGUUACGGCGUAGCGUUUGAUACCCUCUAAGUAGGUCGAUCCACAUCUUGAAUACAUGCGACAAUCUCAGGUCUAAGGACAAAGCGUAUAUGAUGUUUAAAGAGAGAACUACUUCUCAUGUUGGGUCAGUCCUAGCACAUGUCUCCACAUGAACCCACAUUAUUAGUUCAACAUCUCCAUGUCCAUGACUUGUGAAACAUAGUCAUCAACUAAUACAUGUGCUAGUCUAAUAUUCAUGUGUGUCCUCACAUGAACUCCGACUAGGGACAACUUUAGAAUAACCAUACAAGUAAAGAGUUUCACACACAAUUCAUGUAAUUGCAAAUCAAUUCAAGUAGUCUUUAAUGGAUAUUCAAGGAACACAACAUAAAUCAUGGAUACAAAUGGAAUAUCAUCAUCUCUAUGAUUGCCUCUAGGGCAUACCUCCAACAAUUUGCAGGGUCAUGCACCAUGCGUGCGGCGACCCAUCCAUCGGACAGCGCAUGGCAUUGCACAAGACGUACUGGGAGGAUAUGCAGUGGAAUGAGCCAGACAGGUACUACGCCCUCCUCGCUCUGCUGGUUGGUUUGGGGAACCUGGAGGCCUGCACCAUCAAAGGGAUUGUAGAUUUCUUCGCCGUCCCCCGGCCAUCCCUCCAAAAGCUUUCCCGCACCACACCGGGUGGGCAUGAUGUGAGGGCCUAUCUUUACGCCCUAAUGAUAUACAGGAACAACAGUGCAAUCAUGGACGAUGACAUUGCGAAGAGAUAAAUCUACCACGUCGAAUGCAAGGAUGGUUCGGCAGUGAGCGGGAGCACAAGCUCAAAGAAGCUGCGCAACGAUGCCUGUCAGGUGUGCCGCGAGGAGGCCGCCUACCUAGUCAAUAGAGUUACAUGGGGCGGGCAUGGUGAUCCGCUUUCACCGGCACCAGUUUGAGGCGACUUCCCUUGCACUGGAGGCGACUGCGGCAAGGUUAAGGGCUGGGAACAAGCUACGCUUUAUUGCAACGAGGACUAUAGGAUACGCCAUGAAAUUGUAGCGUUCAAAAGGAGAAUGGAGAUCGAUAACUAAUUGUAGGAUUUCUUUUGCUUUUGCCUAAUGUUGUCCAUGACUCGUUGGCUGAACUUGUAGUGCUGGAACUAUGUUUGUGGUUAAUUUGGAUCAACUUGUAGUCACUACAAGGUUUUGUCUAUCCAAUGGAGUUGUAUUUUCGCAAUGUGUUUUUGUGUCUAAGCACACCUUACACCUCCCUACAUAUAGGUGUUAUGAUGCACAUAUAAAAAGAACCCACACUUGGGUACCUUCAUUUGUCCUUGGAUUUCAAUUGUGGGACCCACUACAUCCCGCCAGGUUGUGCCUCAAAUUUUUAGUACUAGUGCAAUGUUUCCUCCAUUCUUUUUUUCCUAGACCCUCAAAUAUAUCUCAGCCUCUACCCCACUUGCCCCCAAAACUGCGCUGGCUGCGUUAGGGGGGGCAACGGUUCCUCUCUGCCCAAGCGACUCCAUCCAUGGCAACUCCUCCUUCCAUGGCGACUCCUUCCAUGGCCGGCGAUGGAGAACCCAGCACACGACCAAGUACGGUCAGAGUCGAGGAAGCCGAUAUUGAAAACAAAUGUUACAGGUUCGCAUCCACCUUUAACGCCUUCUAGGUUAGGGCAGAAAAUUUCUACACAUUAAUUGCGUACAAUCGAUUUGAUGCUGCCUCAUUGGCGCAUGCUUUUAUAAAUCACAGAUCUGAUUACUACUGAUUAGUUUUUCGCAUAGCACUAGUAGUACUACAUCUUCAUUCAUUGAUGCAAGGGUUUUGAUAUCUAUGUGCACAUACAGAUCAGAGGAGUUGACAGGCUAGAUGGAUGUGGCAGGUAAUGGUACAGUGCCUGGGGGCAGAAGGACAAGAUGUGCGCCUGGUUAAGGUAAUAUUGAUAGCGCACAAUUAGACUUUGUCAGCUUGUGGGAUUACAAAGAUCAACUUCGAUAUGGUGCGUGGGACUACUACUACUACAAGAAGAGAAUAGGAAAUGCUGAUGCAUCUGUUCAGUCAAUUGGUUACCCCAAAGAUGUAGAGUGUAUGUUUCAGUACAUGGAUUCAUCUGAAGAAAGGAAACUAAGGUUGAUACUAUCAAAACAAGAAUUGGUUGGAGCUGUCAACAUUACACCCCUGAAACAACCAAGGGUGAAUGAGUCUGAUGAUGUUACUGAUGCUGAUACUAGUAAUGAUGAAUCACUUGAUGAAUACAAAGAUUGUCUUCAAGACCAAGACCUAGAUUGUGGUAUGUAUGCUGUUUGUACUACACUAUGCACAUGUGUCUAUAACUGUACAAUGUACUCACAUAGUUGUGUUGGUAACUUGCAGAUCUAUACGAUAACUAUAGGGAAGAAAUAGUAAAAACAUACUCUAAAUGGUUAAGGCAGAAAGGCCUUAUGAGAGAUAUUUGUAAAUCCUUUUUCCUCUGAACUAAUUCUUAUUUUUGAUGAAAAUUGUACAAUCGUCUAAGUGCACUUGUUUUUUAUUUGUUCAGUGGCUUAUAAUAGAGGUCAAGCAAAGCUUACAGAAGUACGUGAUGAGAGCAAUGGUAGUAGCGCCACGCCACCAUCACAAUGGCCAGCACAUGCUAGGAAACCAAAGCAGACAAUAGGUUCUAAAAGCUAAAGCUUCACACCUUCUGUAGUUUUUUAUGCUCUUAUUGUGCACGACUUAAUGUAAGUUUCUAUUUUUUGAUUGUAAUUAGGUGGCAAGAAAAUGGACCGAGAAUGCUUGAAAGGGCUAGCUGUGGUGGCCAAGAGAUCGAAGUCUGGCUCAUAGAAACUGAAAAUCAAAUUUUCCAAAAAUGUGGGUGGUCCCUGUGGAGAUAACAGACGUACCUUUGUGGAUGAGGUUGUUCUGUUUACAAAGUAGAAGGCUCCAUUAAUUGGAGUUAGAAAUUGGAAAGAUGUGUGUCAGCAUGUCAAGGAUGAUAUCGUAGAAUCUGUAAUGGUAUGUCAAUGGCCACCUCAUCCUUCAUUAUAAUGUUAUAUAUUAGUCUUGUUCCCUCUAUUUUCUUGGAAACAUAUAUUUUGAAUGUAGCAUACAUAACAAGUUUUCUUUCCCACUAGGAUCAUUGGGACCUUGAGACCACUGAGAGUCCGAACAAAAAGAUAUGGAAGGUUGCCAAUGAACGCUACAAAAGUUGGCGAUCUGUUUUGCAUUCUACAUACAAGGCAUACAACAGUUAUGAUGAGAGAAGGAGACAUAAGCCUGAAGACAUAGACAUUGUGAAGUGGCACUAUUUGAACAUGUACUUUGGAACUAAGGACUUCAAGGUAGGCCCUCUUUUGUAAGUAAAAGAACACAAUCAUGAGUUCAACUUUUCAUCGCUAACCAUUACUUUACGGGAUGACUGUGUAGAGUAGGAGCAGCAUGAACUCUUUGAAUCGUAGCCAACUGAGAACAAAUCACUCGGGGGGUUCCAAACCUUUCUCGUAGUGGAGUUGGGAAAAGGUAAAGAUUUGUUUACUUAUUCUCAACUUUCAGUACAUUACACAAUGAUAUAUUAAUAGCGUUUAAUGUUGUAAUCAUAGAGAGAUCCAGUAACUGGCGAUGAGCCACCCCUUUUGGAACUUUGGAAGACUACUCAUACUAGGGAAGAAAGAUGGACAAAUCACCUAGCUGAAAGUAUUUAUGUGUGUACUGAGUGCUAAUUUGAUCAUAACAUUGAUUCGGCAUUACAAGCUAUUUUUUGGUAUGAAAACAUGACCAAAUUAAUGUUACAAUUAAUUGUUUCUUGCCAUCAGACAUGUACAUCUAGAAAAUUAUCUCAACACAAUCAGAUGAAGAAGACCAACAAGUCAUACUUCUGGACUUGCUAAGGAAGACCAAGUUUUCUAGGAAACGUACAGGGAAACAACAGGAGCCAAAUAUAGAAGGUCACGUGGCCAUGGUUACUUGUCGAAUCCAAAACGAAAGCAAGAAGCCCUUCAGGAGAGAAUGAUUCAGGAGAGAAUAGAGAGGCCCGAAGAACAAGAAUGUCAGUUACAGGAAAAAAUGCAAAAGCAUGAAGCUAAAAAGGAAGCAGAGAUCGAACAACUUAAAGUUGCACUUAGCCAAGAAUUGAUGGGGGAAGUUGCUAGAAUGAUCGCGCCUUAUCGUCAGGCUUUACUGCAAGAGGUAACCAGAAUAUAAUUUGUGCAUGUUGAUUUAUGUUGUGUUCUAAAUUUUCAUAAUGUCACUAAUGUCUAGCCUCCCCUCUUUUAAAAUCCGCAGCGUACCCCAGCAAACAACAAUAAUACAACUGAAGUUGAUGCUAGGACCACCGAGGAUAACAUUGAUGCAAGGCCAGUACUGGACAGCCAAGAAAUAAGGAACCAUGUAUCGACAAUAAUUGGUUGUGAUUGAAAAUAUAUAUACAUAUGUCGCUAAUCUCUUGCCUGCCCGCUUUUAAAUUGUGCAGCAUACCCCUCAAACCAAC